This 497-nucleotide ribosomal RNA is filed under the name uncultured bacterium. Its description in RNAcentral is "partial 16S ribosomal RNA". It matches the Rfam family "Bacterial small subunit ribosomal RNA", at positions 28 to 507 of the family's 1533-position model. The record is from RNAcentral.
GAUGAACGCUGGCGGCGUGCCUAAUACAUGCAAGUCGAGCGAACAGACGAGGAGCUUGCUCCUCUGACGUUAGCGGCGGACGGGUGAGUAACACGUGGAUAACCUACCUAUAAGACUGGGAUAACUUCGGGAAACCGGAGCUAAUACCGGAUAAUAUAUUGAACCGCAUGGUUCAAUAGUGAAAGACGGUUUUGCUGUCACUUAUAGAUGGAUCCGCGCCGCAUUAGCUAGUUGGUAAGGUAACGGCUUACCAAGGCAACGAUGCGUAGCCGACCUGAGAGGGUGAUCGGCCACACUGGAACUGAGACACGGUCCAGACUCCUACGGGAGGCAGCAGUAGGGAAUCUGCCGCAAGGGGCGAAAGCCUGACGGAGCAACGCCGCGUGAGGGAUGAAGGUCUUCGGAUCGUAAAACUCUGUUAUUAGGGAAGAACAAAUGUGUAAGUAACUAUGCACGUCUUGACGGUACCUAAUCAGAAAGCCACGGCUAACUACGUG